This 468-nucleotide ribosomal RNA is filed under the name uncultured bacterium. RNAcentral describes it as "partial 16S ribosomal RNA". It matches the Rfam family "Bacterial small subunit ribosomal RNA", at positions 28 to 507 of the family's 1533-position model. The record is from RNAcentral.
GACGAACGCUGGCGGCGUGCCUAACACAUGCAAGUCGAACGGAAAGGCCCUGCUUUUGUGGGGUGCUCGAGUGGCGAACGGGUGAGUAACACGUGAGUAACCUGCCCUUGACUUUGGGAUAACUUCAGGAAACUGGGGCUAAUACCGGAUAGGAGCUCCUGCUGCAUGGUGGGGGUUGGAAAGUUUCGGCGGUUGGGGAUGGACUCGCGGCUUAUCAGCUUGUUGGUGGGGUAGUGGCUUACCAAGGCUUUGACGGGUAGCCGGCCUGAGAGGGUGACCGGCGACAUUGGGACUGAGGUACGGACCAGACUCCUACGGGAGGCAGCAGGGGGGAAUAUUGCACAAUGGGCGGAAGCCUGAUGCAGCAACGCCGCGUGCGGGAUGACGGCCUUCGGGUUGUAAACCGCUUUCGCCUGUAACGAAGCGGGAGUGACGGUAAUGGGUAAAGAAGCACCGGCUAACUACGUG